AAUAUAAGUGGAGGCGUCGCGCUGGCGGGCAUUCCUGAAGCUGACAGCAUUCGGGCCGAGAUGUCUCGCUCCGUGGCCUUAGCUGUGCUCGCGCUACUCUCUCUUUCUGGCCUGGAGGCUAUCCAGCGUACUCCAAAGAUUCAGGUUUACUCACGUCAUCCAGCAGAGAAUGGAAAGUCAAAUUUCCUGAAUUGCUAUGUGUCUGGGUUUCAUCCAUCCGACAUUGAAGUUGACUUACUGAAGAAUGGAGAGAGAAUUGAAAAAGUGGAGCAUUCAGACUUGUCUUUCAGCAAGGACUGGUCUUUCUAUCUCUUGUACUACACUGAAUUCACCCCCACUGAAAAAGAUGAGUAUGCCUGCCGUGUGAACCAUGUGACUUUGUCACAGCCCAAGAUAGUUAAGUGGGGUAAGUCUUACAUUCUUUUGUAAGCUGCUGAAAGUUGUGUAUGAGUAGUCAUAUCAUAAAGCUGCUUUGAUAUAAAAAAGAUCUAUGGCCAUACUACCCUGAAUGAGUCCCAUCCCAUCUGAUAUAAACAAUCUGCAUAUUGGGAUUGUCAGGGAAUGUUCUUAAAGAUCAGAUUAGUGGCACCUGCUGAGAUACUGAUGCACAGCAUGGUUUCUGAACCAGUAGUUUCCCUGCAGUUGAGCGGGAGCAGCAGCAGCACUUGCACAAAUACAUAUACACUCUUAACACUUCUUACCUACUGGCUUCCUCUAGCUUUUGUGGCAGCUUCAGGUAUAUUUAGCACUGAACGAACAUCUCAAGAAGGUAUAGGCCUUUGUUUGUAAGUCCUGCUAUCCUAGCAUCCUAUAAUCCUGGACUUCUCCAGUACUUUCUGGCUGGAUUGGUAUCUGAGGCUAGUAGGAAGGGCUUGUUCCUGCUGGGCAGCUCUAAACAAGGUAUUCAUGGGUAGGAACAGCAGCCUAUUCUGCCAGCCUUAUUUCUAACCAUUUUAGACAUUUGUUAGUACAUGGUAUUUUAAAAGUAAAACUUAAUGUCUUCCUUUUUUUUCUCCACUGUCUUUUUCAUAGAUCGAGACAUGUAAGCAGCAUCAUGGAGGUUUGAAGAUGCCACAUUUGGAAUGGAUGAAUUCCAAAUUCUGCUUGCUUGCUUUUUAAUAUUGAUAUGCUUAUACACUUAUACUUUAUGCACAAAAUAUAGGGUUAUAAUAAUGUUAACAUGGACAUGAUCUUCUUUAUAAUUCUACUUUGAGUGCUA
RNAcentral lists this small RNA (1219 nucleotides) under Pan troglodytes (chimpanzee). Its description in RNAcentral is "retained intron". The record is from RNAcentral. Lineage: Eukaryota; Metazoa; Chordata; Mammalia; Primates; Hominidae.